This 301-nucleotide ribosomal RNA is filed under the name uncultured bacterium. Its description in RNAcentral is "partial 16S ribosomal RNA". It matches the Rfam family "Bacterial small subunit ribosomal RNA", at positions 509 to 807 of the family's 1533-position model. The record is from RNAcentral.
CAGCCGCCGCGGUAAUACGAAGGGUGCAAGCGUUAAUCGGAAUUACUGGGCGUAAAGCGCACGCAGGCGGUCUGUCAAGUCAGAUGUGAAAGCCCUGGGCUCAACCCAGGAAGUGCACUUGAAACUGCGAGGCUAGAGUACUGGAGAGGUUGGUGGAAUUCUCGGUGUAGAGGUGAAAUUCGUAGAUAUCGAGAGGAACACCGGUGGCGAAGGCGGCCAACUGGACAGAUACUGACGCUGAGACUCGAAAGCGUGGGGAGCAAACAGGAUUAGAUACCCCGGUAGUCCCUGUCUCUUAUAC